This 330-nucleotide ribosomal RNA is filed under the name uncultured bacterium. RNAcentral's name for it is "bacterial SSU rRNA". It matches the Rfam family "Bacterial small subunit ribosomal RNA", at positions 568 to 898 of the family's 1533-position model. The record is from RNAcentral.
UACGCAGGCGGCUUGGUAAGACAGGUGUGAAAUCCCCGGGCUUAACCUGGGAACUGCAUUUGUGACUGCCUGGCUAGAGUCUGUCAGAGGGGGGUGGAAUUCCACGUGUAGCAGUGAAAUGCGUAGAGAUGUGGAGGAACACCGAUGGCGAAGGCAGCCCCCUGGGAUAAGACUGACGCUCAUGUACGAAAGCGUGGGGAGCAAACAGGAUUAGAUACCCUGGUAGUCCACGCCCUAAACGAUGUCGACUAGUUGUCGGGGAUUAACUUCCUCGGUAACGCAGCUAACGCGUGAAGUCGACCGCCUGGGGAGUACGGUCGCAAGAUUAAA